This 73-nucleotide transfer RNA is filed under the name Bacillus velezensis. Its description in RNAcentral is "tRNA-OTHER". It matches the Rfam family "tRNA". Rfam says of the family: Transfer RNA (tRNA) molecules are approximately 80 nucleotides in length. Their secondary structure includes four short double-helical elements and three loops (D, anti-codon, and T loops). Lineage: Bacteria; Bacillati; Bacillota; Bacilli; Caryophanales; Bacillaceae. The record is from RNAcentral.
UCCGCAGUAGCUCAGUGGUAGAGGCUAUCGCUGUUAACCGAUCGUCGUAGGUUCGAGUCCUACCUGCGAGCCA